Molecule: ribosomal RNA, 467 nt
Filed under: uncultured bacterium
Lineage: Bacteria
Description: partial 16S ribosomal RNA
Rfam family: Bacterial small subunit ribosomal RNA
Source: RNAcentral
GACGAACGCUGGCGGCGUGCUUAACACAUGCAAGUCGAACGAUGAUCAGGAGCUUGCUCCUGUGAUUAGUGGCGAACGGGUGAGUAACACGUGAGUAACCUGCCCCUGACUCUGGGAUAAGCGUUGGAAACGCCGUCUAAUACUGGAUAUGAUCACUGGCCGCAUGGUCCGGUGGUGGAAAGAUUUUUUGGUUGGGGAUGGACUCGCGGCCUAUCAGCUUGUUGGUGGGGUAAUGGCUCACCAAGGCGACGACGGGUAGCCGGCCUGAGAGGGUGACCGGCCACACUGGGACUGAGACACGGCCCAGACUCCUACGGGAGGCAGCAGUGGGGAAUAUUGCACAAUGGGCGAAAGCCUGAUGCAGCAACGCCGCGUGAGGGAUGACGGCCUUCGGGUUGUAAACCGCUUUUAGUAGGGAAGAAGCGAAAGUGACGGUACCUGCAGAAAAAGCACCGGCUAACUACGUG